RNAcentral lists this long non-coding RNA (242 nucleotides) under Brassica napus (rape). RNAcentral describes it as "long non-coding RNA (BNAP_LNC015121)". Lineage: Eukaryota; Viridiplantae; Streptophyta; Magnoliopsida; Brassicales; Brassicaceae. The record is from RNAcentral.
UUAGUGAUAUUAUCUAAAAAAAAAAUCUGAAAUUUAUUACAGACUUAGGAUCUAGUUAGGAGGAGUCUGAACAUGACUUGGUGGCUAAAACCAUUAAGGCUUGAUUCAUAAAGAUUCCAAUAAAAGAAUUCAAACGGGACUUCGAGGCGGCAAUCUUCAAGGCUCGCUUCACAAAGAAUUCUUGGAUAUAGGUCAAACAUAAGUGAACAGGGCUUGGUGGCAACCACCAUUAAGUCUUGAUU